AUUGAACGCUGGCGGCAUGCCUUACACAUGCAAGUCGAACGGCAGCACGGGUGCUUGCACCUGGUGGCGAGUGGCGAACGGGUGAGUAAUACAUCGGAACGUACCUUAUCGUGGGGGAUAACGCAGCGAAAGCUGUGCUAAUACCGCAUACGCCCUGAGGGGGAAAGCGGGGGAUCGCAAGACCUCGCGCGAUUAGAGCGGCCGAUGCCUGAUUAGCUUGUUGGUGGGGUAAAAGCCCACCAAGGCGACGAUCAGUAGCUGGUCUGAGAGGACGAUCAGCCACACUGGGACUGGGAAACGGCCCAGACUCCUACGGGAGGCAGCAGUGGGGAAUUUUGGACAAUGGGGGCAACCCUGAUCCAGCAAUGCCGCGUGAGUGAAGAAGGCCUUCGGGUUGUAAAGCUCUUUUGUCAGGGAAGAAACACCGGCUCUAACACAGUCCGGGAAUGACGGUACCUGAAGAAUAAGCACCGGCUAACUACGUGCCAGCCGCCGCGGUAA
This 501-nucleotide ribosomal RNA is filed under the name uncultured bacterium. RNAcentral's name for it is "partial 16S ribosomal RNA". It matches the Rfam family "Bacterial small subunit ribosomal RNA", at positions 29 to 523 of the family's 1533-position model. The record is from RNAcentral.